Molecule: ribosomal RNA, 249 nt
Filed under: uncultured bacterium
Lineage: Bacteria
Description: partial 16S ribosomal RNA
Rfam family: Bacterial small subunit ribosomal RNA
Source: RNAcentral
UACGGGGGGGCAAGCGUUGUUCGGAAUUACUGGGCGUAAAGGGUUCGUAGGUGGCCAACUAAGUCAGACGUGAAAUCCCUCAGCUCAACUGGGGAACUGCGUCUGAUACUGGUCGCUUGAGUGCAGGAGAGGAACGCGGAAUUCCAGGUGUAGCGGUGAAAUGCGUAGAUAUCUGGAGGAACACCGGUGGCGAAGGCGGCGUUCUGGACUGCAACUGACACUGAGGAACGAAGCCAGGGAGCAAACGGG